RNAcentral lists this transfer RNA (88 nucleotides) under Bacteroidales bacterium. RNAcentral describes it as "tRNA-Ser". It matches the Rfam family "tRNA". Rfam says of the family: Transfer RNA (tRNA) molecules are approximately 80 nucleotides in length. Their secondary structure includes four short double-helical elements and three loops (D, anti-codon, and T loops). Further hydrogen bonds mediate the characteristic L-shaped molecular structure. tRNAs have two regions of fundamental functional importance: the anti-codon, which is responsible for specific mRNA codon recognition, and the 3' end, to which the tRNAs corresponding amino acid is attached (by aminoacyl-tRNA synthetases). tRNAs cope with the degeneracy of the genetic code in two manners: having more than one tRNA (with a specific anti-codon) for a particular amino acid; and 'wobble' base-pairing, i.e. permitting non-standard base-pairing at the 3rd anti-codon position. Lineage: Bacteria; Pseudomonadati; Bacteroidota; Bacteroidia; Bacteroidales. The record is from RNAcentral.
GGAAAGAUGCCGGAGUGGUCGUUCGGGGCGGUCUCGAAAACCGUUGACCAGCUUGCCUGGUCCCAGGGUUCGAAUCCCUGUCUUUCCG